RNAcentral lists this long non-coding RNA (564 nucleotides) under Anser brachyrhynchus (Pink-footed goose). RNAcentral's name for it is "lncRNA (ENSABRG00000006753.1)". The record is from RNAcentral. Lineage: Eukaryota; Metazoa; Chordata; Aves; Anseriformes; Anatidae.
CUGUUGUAUAUUUAACCUCCACACCAUAUUUCAUGCAAUAAGAAUGCAUAUCAGCUCUUGAGCAGCCAGAUUUGGAAAUCAUGGCUCUCCAGUCAUGGGAAAAGGACAGCGUAAGGAACAGCAGCAUACAUGCAUUUUCCUUCACUGCUGUCACAAAGAUUUUUACUUCAGGACCUGGCAGAGCUUUACUUGCUGCAUUUAUCAUGGUGAGCUCAAUUCCUGGUCACAGAGUCAGGUCAUACACAGAAAUCCACGUACUGUCAAUGGAAGUUCAGCACCAGAUUAAGGACAAGAGAGUGAAGUUGCUCUGCAUAACUUGGUAAACACAUACCUGUCCUGUGCACCAUCCAUCAAAUACGUUACACUGCAGACUCAGUAACUGGCAGGAGCCCUUGAUCUGUAGUGAUCUGUGUCUAAUUUCAGCAUGAAUAGUUCCUUCUCCUUGAGCAUAGAGCUUGAGGCUUUCCCAGGUGAGUGGCACUGAAAGGUAUUCCUUUUCCACUUGUCUCUUGUCUGACUAUGUCUGUAGUGGUAAAUAAAAUAGGCCUUAGAAAUUUAACCUCA